Molecule: ribosomal RNA, 358 nt
Filed under: uncultured bacterium
Lineage: Bacteria
Description: partial 16S ribosomal RNA
Rfam family: Bacterial small subunit ribosomal RNA
Source: RNAcentral
CCUACGGGCGGCAGCAGUGGGGAAUAUUGGUCAAUGGGCGCAAGCCUGACCCAGCAACGCCGCGUGAAGGAAGAAGGCUUUCGGGUUGUAAACUUCUUUUCUCAGGGACGAAGCAAGUGACGCGACCUGAGGAAUAAGCCACGGCUAAAUACGGGCCAGCAGCCGCGGUGAUACGUAGGUGGCAAGCGUUAUCCGGAUUUAGUGGGUGUAAAGGGCGUGUAGGCGGGGACGCAAGUCAGAUGUGAAAACCAUGGGCUCAACCUGUAGACUGCAUUUGAAACUGUGUUUCUUGAGUACUGGAGAGGCAGACGGAAUUCCUAGUGUAGCGGUGAAAUGCGUAGAUAUUAGGAGGAACACC